GGCGGUUCUCAGGUGACACACCCCAGAAUCAGGCUCCCUCCUCUCUGGUUCUGGGGUGUGUCACCCAAGAACCACC
Myotis brandtii (Brandt's bat) is the source of this 76-nucleotide non-coding RNA. The record is from Rfam. Lineage: Eukaryota; Metazoa; Chordata; Mammalia; Chiroptera; Vespertilionidae.